UUGCACCUGGUGGCGAGUGGCGAACGGGUGAGUAAUACAUCGGAACAUGUCCUGUAGUGGGGGAUAGCCCGGCGAAAGCCGGAUUAAUACCGCAUACGAUCUACGGAUGAAAGCGGGGGACCUUCGGGCCUCGCGCUAUAGGGUUGGCCGAUGGCUGAUUAGCUAGUUGGUGGGGUAAAGGCCUACCAAGGCGACGAUCAGUAGCUGGUCUGAGAGGACGACCAGCCACACUGGGACUGAGACACGGCCCAGACUCCUACGGGAGGCAGCAGUGGGGAAUUUUGGACAAUGGGCGAAAGCCUGAUCCAGCAAUGCCGCGUGUGUGAAGAAGGCCUUCGGGUUGUAAAGCACUUUUGUCCGGAAAGAAAUCCUUGGCUCUAAUACAGUCGGGGGAUGACGGUACCGGAAGAAUAAGCACCGGCUAACUACGUGCCAGCAGCCGCGGUAAUACGUAGGGUGCGAGCGUUAAUCGGGAAUUACUGGGCGUAAAGCGUGCGCAGGCGGUUUGCUAAAGACCGAUGUGAAA
Molecule: ribosomal RNA, 526 nt
Filed under: Burkholderia contaminans
Lineage: Bacteria; Pseudomonadati; Pseudomonadota; Betaproteobacteria; Burkholderiales; Burkholderiaceae
Description: bacterial SSU rRNA
Rfam family: Bacterial small subunit ribosomal RNA
Source: RNAcentral